CCUUUAUACGGUGAAACCGCGAAUGGCUCAUUAAAUCAGCUAUGGUUUAUUGGAUCGUACCCGUUAAAUGGAUAACUGUAAUAACUCUAGAGCUAAUACAUGCCUCGAUGCCCUGACCCUCACGGGGAUGGGUGCACUUAUUAGAUCAGAAGCCAACCGUGUUCAGCCGUGGCAACAUGGCUGGGCGCGUUGACCUUCUGGUGACUCUGGAUAAUUGUUACAGAUCGCAGUCGGCCUUGAGUCGGCGACGGGUCCUUCAAAUGUCUGCCCUAUCAACUUUCGAUGGUAGGUGACCUGCCUACCAUGGUGAUAACGGGUAACGGGGAAUCAGGGUU
RNAcentral lists this ribosomal RNA (335 nucleotides) under Mesocestoides sp. CM-2004. Its description in RNAcentral is "SSU rRNA". It matches the Rfam family "Eukaryotic small subunit ribosomal RNA", at positions 71 to 377 of the family's 1831-position model. The record is from RNAcentral. Lineage: Eukaryota; Metazoa; Platyhelminthes; Cestoda; Cyclophyllidea; Mesocestoididae.